Molecule: long non-coding RNA, 1496 nt
Organism: Struthio camelus australis
Lineage: Eukaryota; Metazoa; Chordata; Aves; Struthioniformes; Struthionidae
Source: Ensembl
CAACACCUUGCCUCUUGCAAUGGCACGUACCACUGAUGUUCAUCAUCAUCCAUGCUGAUAUCAGUGUAGCAGUGUGUCAACUUGACUCAUGACGUUAGGGAAGGAGGAGAUUGCUCCUUAUACCUGCAGGCACCUAUUGAUCAUGUGGCAGAAAAACAGGGAAGGAAGCAGCAAAGCAACAGUAUGUACGAUGCUAAUCGAUUGAAUAGCCCAUGGCCUAUGAUGUGUGCAAGAAGUAGCCGUGAUCUAAUGUAUCAGUAGCAUGGAGGGUGGCUGACAAUCGCCACAGGUACGCUCAGACCUGCUGAGCCUCAAAAAUCUUAACCAAAAUACCUGCUGAUAGGACCACAUUGUUGUCUAGAUAUGGAUUACAAAACAAGGAGUUGUUAAUUUCUGAUGCACAGUGCCUUUUUUUGUUUUUUGUUUUUUUUUUUUCUAGUCAGGAGCUCUGCAGUGGCAAUAUAUCUGUUUUUGGCCCAAAGUGGCUUGGCACUGUUCUAUCUAAUCUGGCCAGAUUCCUAUAGCUCUUUAGCAUAGUAAUUUGUUAUGAGCAAGUUCAUUGUGCUUCAUCCCCUUUUGGAAAUUUGCAAAAUGAUAUACUAACUAGUCCCUCCCUGCCAGCUGAUCUUUGGAUAUGACAUCAUGUGUCAUCACUGCAUGCUGGAGAUAGGACAAGCUCCACUGUAACAAAACCAUCAUUGAAACUUCCUUGCUGUCUGGAAUGAAAGAGCCUAAAUUCUGGUUUUGUGCGUAUUCCUUCCAUAUGGACAGGGAUCUAUGGGACUCAUCAGCUGUCUGCCUUGCCCUUUCACCUCAACAAUCUCAUGAAAAUUUAAAACAUGGGCGUAUUGGUUCGUGUUUUCAUUGUUCAGCCGUGCCUAGAAGGAGGGGAAAUCCAUCCAUUAGAGGUGAUAUCAUCAAUCCCAGAAACAACUGAAAAUAACCUUAAUGCAGUCUGAGCAACUACCACAAGGAAACACUAAAAAAGAGCACAGAGAUGUUAUAACAUAUGCAUUUGCUCUUCAUGUAAGCACCAAGCAACAUGUAUAUCCAUUACCUUUUCUUCCAAAAAUAUUCAAAUCAAUUAAUAAUAAAAGUAUCUCCUUGGUAUCUUUAUACAGUACAUUUGUCCUGGAAUAUAAGACUCACCUGGGAAUCCCGAGGAUCUCAAAAUUACACUUUAAUGAGAGAGAAUGGCUCUGUGUUUCCAAAGAAUCCAUCAGUUCCAUACUUUGAAAUGUCCUGAUGGAAGACAUGAGGUUCCUUCCUUGACAGUUUUCAACAAGCGUUUAAAGGAUCUGUGUGGUGGUAAAGGAGAAGAAACUGCUUACAGCUUCCCUCUUCAAGGGCUCGUUCCAUACUGACUCUAUCCCUGCUCUAAUUUGGACAAGUCUCAGGUCUGCCUAACCAAUGCUGAAUGCCCAGUGCUUCCCGCAAGCUCCCCAUAGAGACUGCACUAGAAAACAGAGGCAAGUCUUUCCCUUAUGAGAUGAUCC